UACACUCCUGCGGGAGGCAGCAGUGGGGAAUAUUGGACAAUGGGCGCAAGCCUGAUCCAGCCAUGCCGCGUGAGUGAUGAAGGCCCUAGGGUUGCAAAGCUCUUUCACCGGUGAAGAUAAUGACGGUAACCGGAGAAGAAGCCCCGGCUAACUUCGUGCCAGCAGCCGCGGUAAUACGAAGGGGGCUAGCGUUGUUCGGAUUUACUGGGCGUAAAGCGCACGUAGGCGGACUAUUAAGUCAGGGGUGAAAUCCCGGGGCUCAACCCCGGAACUGCCUUGGAUACUGGUAGUCUUGAGUUCGAGAGAGGUGAGUGGAAUUCCGAGUGUAGAGGUGAAAUUCGUAGAUAUUCGGAGGAACACCAGUGGCGAAGGCGGCUCACUGGCUCGAUACUGACGCUGAGGUGCGAAAGCGUGGGGAGCAAACAGGAUUAGAUACCCUAGUAGUCCC
This 448-nucleotide ribosomal RNA is filed under the name uncultured organism. RNAcentral describes it as "partial 16S ribosomal RNA". It matches the Rfam family "Bacterial small subunit ribosomal RNA", at positions 332 to 797 of the family's 1533-position model. The record is from RNAcentral.